Molecule: long non-coding RNA, 149 nt
Organism: Octopus sinensis (East Asian common octopus)
Lineage: Eukaryota; Metazoa; Mollusca; Cephalopoda; Octopoda; Octopodidae
Exons: 3
Source: RefSeq, a predicted model, not a curated record
UCUGGCAGCUUGCGGCCUUAAUAACAAAAAAUGAUAUGAAUUGAGGGUAUAAACACAAACAGUGAAUUAGCUCUGAAUAAAUAAUGUACUCCAUACAGUAAAAUGUAAACAAAACUGCUACAAUUGAUUGUAAUAGGGAUCAACAUUUU